AUCACUUUUUGGCCUUUUGGCUAAGAUCAAGUAAAGCAUCUGUUCUUAUCUAUAUAAUAAAAGCCAUUACAGCGGAACGAACAAAACGACCAGUC
RNAcentral lists this small nuclear RNA (95 nucleotides) under Myotis davidii. RNAcentral's name for it is "U2 spliceosomal RNA". It matches the Rfam family "U2 spliceosomal RNA". Rfam says of the family: U2 is a small nuclear RNA (snRNA) component of the spliceosome (involved in pre-mRNA splicing). Lineage: Eukaryota; Metazoa; Chordata; Mammalia; Chiroptera; Vespertilionidae. The record is from Rfam by way of RNAcentral.